Long non-coding RNA from Maniola jurtina (meadow brown), 238 nucleotides. RefSeq lists it as uncharacterized. The transcript is spliced from 3 exons. Lineage: Eukaryota; Metazoa; Arthropoda; Insecta; Lepidoptera; Nymphalidae. The record is from RefSeq and is a predicted model, not a curated record.
AUCAGUUCGACAGUAUGGGGUGGUAUGGGAACCCGACGUACGCAUGGUUAUCUCUACUUGUUUACUGAAAAGGAAAAUACUUCACGGAAUUCCUGAGCUCAUUAGCUGAACAUGAUUUCAGUGAUCACAAUUUUAUUAUGCUUUACAACCAACUUCAGAUCAACAGAAUUCAACAUUCAGAAGAUUCAACAGUAUCCACUCAAAGUACAAUAAUAAUAAUUAGUGCCAAUUUGACAAC